GUCUGUGAAGCUGAUGUUUCAUCAGAAUCAGUCUGAGGCUGAAGGUCUGUGGGCUGCCUGGAGAGCUGCUUGUCCACACUGGAAGGUGGCUGAGAAGCUGGGCUUUGGUGGUAGCCUAGCAACGGAUAGACACAAAGAAGUCAGAUGGAGGUGCUUGGGGCAGUGCUGAUGCUCAGGCAAACGCUCCUACAGCAGAGUGAGCGCACAGGUCCUCCUGUGCCUGGAUCCUUGGUCCAAGUCUCCUCACGCGGCUCAACUUUACGUCUGUGUCAGAAGAACGUCAAGACCAAUUGCCACUUCUUUUUUUUCUCAGAGUCCUCACCCAACAUAAGGCUUCCAAGAUGACAGAGAACAGGAGGUUGCGAUGACUACUGUUGAGACCAUUGUCAAGGGAAAGUCCUUUUCUUUUGAAGACCACUUGGAUGCUGACAUUUGCUGGAAGUGCCUAGAUUACUGCGAAGGCUUGGCUGGGUUUAUGGUUGACAAAACAUCUUUUGGUGACAUCAGAAGGGACCUACUGGUGUCCGCGUGGGCAGAAGAGAGUAGUACUACUGCUUUGAGAUAGCCAGUUGAAAGCCAGCACCUGCUUCGGUCCACAGGAAGGCAAACUAGCUCCCAUCACACAGGCUAAUGCUUUGUUCUUAGUUGAAAUCUAUACCAAGACUGCUGAGCAUCCUGGAUUCUCCAACUGGGCUGCCACAGGCAGAUUCUGGCUCAGCAUCUCAAUAUGGCAGAGAUCUUCUUCACUGCACAUGUACCCACUGGGAGGACUCAAACCUGGUAUUUCAGAACUCAGGAGAAAAAUUCACACUUUGCAUUUCUCACUGUCACAUGGAGGAGACUGUGACAAGGCCAGCUCUAGUGGCACAGGAUCAUAUGUACAAAUGGAUAUUCUUGAUAAACUUAUAGAAGUGAUGGCACAGACCCAAAGUUCCAAGCACUCCUCACUCUACCCUCAGAAGAUGCAAAGAUGAGUCCAUGCUCCAACUGAUCGCAUCUGGAUUCUAGAGUGUUCUUGAGUGUGUGAAGCUUCAAAGGAAGGAUGUUAAUGUGCUUCGAGGCAGAGGUCAGGAUGUACCUGAAGAAAGGCCUCAUACCAAAAGGUGGAUGUGAUAAGAGACCCAUUAACCAGUAGCAGAGGUCACGUGGCUUGUGUAAAGAGGAGACAUCUGGACCACGCAUGCCCAUUUUAUCACUGGACACCUUUGCAGAGAUUAUGGGGAUGAUCCAGUAACACUGCUUUUGGUUUAUGUGCCCAGGUCCUGGCCCAUUGUGGACGCUCAAUUUGGCUAACAGAAGCCACGGACAGAUAAAUCACCAGCAGCCUGGUGCUUUGGCAGACAUAUUUUGGCGUCUCUGGUCAACCUUGUGGAAAAGGGAGUUCGUGCGUGGAGAGAACUUUGGAUGCUGUCAGAAGCAGCCCUCUACGGAUGUCCAGCCAUUCUGAGGCUGUGACCACUUCUAGGCAGAGACUUCUAGAGACUUCUGGCAUAGCUCCUGGAAUUCAGUGGAUUUUCAAGACAUACUUAUAUUUAAUGAAUUAACAAUAAAAGGAGAAGUAAGGACAAAAACUGUUACAUUUUACUUAUCUGACUCCAAGGAGACAUAGGAUUCCUGAAUUCUUUUUUAAAAAAUACUUUGCUUACUGGCAUGGUGGCACACACUUUUAAUACCAGCACUUGGGAGAAAGAGGCAGGCAGAACUCUGAAGCCAGCCUGGUCUUCAGAGUGUGUUCUAGAACAUCCAGGGCUACACAGAGAAACCCAGCCUGGAGAAACCAAAAUACAUACAUACAUACAUACAUACAUACAUACAUACAUACAUACAAUAAAAACAGUUUACAAUA
Molecule: long non-coding RNA, 1846 nt
Filed under: Mus musculus (house mouse)
Lineage: Eukaryota; Metazoa; Chordata; Mammalia; Rodentia; Muridae
Description: predicted gene 2629
Source: RNAcentral